GGGUUUACUCAUUGGUCAGGCUUAAUUGUCUGUACUGGUGAGAUGGAUUCCUACCUUCUGAAUAACCAGCAUGCUAUUAAGUUAGUGCGUUGGGGAAGCAGAGCUAUUACCUUGAAAAAAUUAGAGUGCUUAAAGCAGGCUUAUGCUUGAAUAGAUUAGCAUGGAAUAAUAAAAUAGGACGGCAUGGUUCUAUUUUGUUGGUUUCUAGGAUCACCGUA
RNAcentral lists this ribosomal RNA (218 nucleotides) under Campeiostachys nutans. RNAcentral's name for it is "Elymus nutans partial small subunit ribosomal RNA". The stretch from base 47 to 218 matches the Rfam family "Eukaryotic small subunit ribosomal RNA", at positions 692 to 864 of the family's 1831-position model. Lineage: Eukaryota; Viridiplantae; Streptophyta; Magnoliopsida; Poales; Poaceae. The record is from RNAcentral.